GAGAUAAACAGCAGGUGACUGCGCGGGCAAGCCGCAAGCACCGGUAGAACCACUGGUGCAUUUCCGAACGGUCGCUUCUGAACCGAAGUAGGUAGCGAUGUCACGAUGCCAUUGGAAUACGAAACGGUGUUUGUUGAACUAACCUGCAACAAAAAGGAAAGAAGAACAUUGAGUACUUGCAUACAAUACGCUUAUGAGGAGAAACGUUACCAGUUCGCUAGAGAAGAACAAUAACCAUCGGCGAAGGUCGGCUACGGCACAGGUAACUGCAUCUUAAGAAGAAAGGGAAAACGCAUUUCCUUCCGAAUUCAAAUUCAAAUUAUCUUUAUUCAAAUAGACUUGUUAAUAAGCACUUUUAAAUCGUCAUUCCCUUUUAAAUCUUUGUUAACAUUAUGUGUAUUUAUUUAAAUGUACAACUAUACUUUUUCUUAAUAUUAAAACGUAAUUCAAUAA
Molecule: long non-coding RNA, 453 nt
Organism: Galleria mellonella (greater wax moth)
Lineage: Eukaryota; Metazoa; Arthropoda; Insecta; Lepidoptera; Pyralidae
Exons: 3
Source: RefSeq, a predicted model, not a curated record